RNAcentral lists this unclassified non-coding RNA (875 nucleotides) under Hevea brasiliensis (rubber tree). The record is from RNAcentral. Lineage: Eukaryota; Viridiplantae; Streptophyta; Magnoliopsida; Malpighiales; Euphorbiaceae.
AUUUUUCCCUGUCAAUAUUUAUGAUUUUAACCCUCACAUCGUCUCCUUCUGUGAGGAUGUCUCUGACAUCAUGAACUAAAUCCCAAGACACUUCUGAGACAUGGACAAGCCCAGUGAGAUGAUAAGAUCCAUCUGGGAAGCGUAGAUGAACAAAAGCACCAUAAUCCUCAACUGAACCGACCUUUGCUUGAUAAGUAUCACCUACAUUUAUUUUAUUAGAAAACUUCAACCAGCUAGCUUCCUUUUCAGAGAAUAUCAAUCUUCGUCUGUCCUCAUCAGCUUGGAUUACCUUCACAGAGAGGACAGAACCGGUCAAGUCCCUCGCAAUCUCUUGAAUAGUCUUUUGUGGUUCUUUACAAGAGUGAUAAGGGCUCAUCUGUGGGAAGGGCAGAAAACCCACGAGAGAAUAAAAUCGAAUCAGCAAACCACCACCAUUGAAGCCUUCAACCUUGCCCUCAAAUAUCAGUCCCCUCUCACUGUAUGUCCUUGCUGCUUUCCAAUCAGCAGACUUCCGAGCUGGUUUGAUCUCAUCAGGUGACAAAGAUAACUGAUCAUCAACUCCAUCAAUCUUAGCAUUACCAGUAGUAGAAACUGAAACUCUAGGGCUUAACAAAGAACCCCUUUUCACCAAACAACCACUCCUAGAAAAAUUCAUAUGCAAUGGGCUUGAAUUCACUGAAAAACAACAAAACUGAUGAGUAGAAGCAGCUAUAUCACUUGUAAACAACUGUGAAAGAUACCCAAUGCCUCCUGAAACUAUGCCCAUUGCUGCAACAGACAUUAUCAGUACUAAUCUAAUAAUCAAGAUUUGGACAGAGAUUGAAAAAAAGAUUGAAUUUUGAGAGAUGGGGUGGAGUUAGUUUUGCGAAUUGGAA